Molecule: ribosomal RNA, 416 nt
Filed under: uncultured crenarchaeote
Lineage: Archaea; Thermoproteati; Thermoproteota
Description: partial 16S ribosomal RNA
Rfam family: Archaeal small subunit ribosomal RNA
Source: RNAcentral
GCUGCCGCAGUCGCGCAACCUCUGCAAUCCGCGAAAGCGUGACAGGGCUACCCCGAGUGCCGUCCGCUGCGGCUGGCUUUUCUCCGGUGUAGUAAGCCGGAGGAAUAAGGAGAGGGCAAGUCUGGUGUCAGCCGCCGCGGUAAUACCAGCUCUCCGAGUGGUAGGGACGUUUAUUGGGCCUAAAGCGUCCGUAUCCGGCCAAGCAAGUUUCCCGUUAAAUCCAGCGAUCCAAUCGUUGGACUGCGGGAAAUACUGUUUGGCUAGGAGGCGAGAGAGGCCAACGGUAUUCCCGGAGUAGGGGUGAAAUCUCAUAAUCCCGGGAGGACCACCAGUGGCGAAGGCUGUUGGCUAGAACGCGCUCGACGGUGAGGGACGAAAGCUGGGGGAGCGAACCGGAUUAGGUACCCGGGUAGUCC